GGACAGAGGCGCGGUUGCGAUGAGUCCCGAUGGGCAGAGGGUGCCGAACCCGCUUUGCAUCCCAUCGGAAAAGGCAAAACCGCCGAAGUACAUUUCCCGUUCGGCUGGGGGAUGUGCUGGUUGCGUAUCCGAACAGGUGCGUAACUGUCACGGCAGAGCUGCCGUGGAGUGCUG
RNAcentral lists this non-coding RNA (174 nucleotides) under pig gut metagenome. RNAcentral describes it as "Lysine riboswitch". It matches the Rfam family "Lysine riboswitch aptamer". From Rfam's summary of the family: Riboswitches are metabolite binding domains within certain messenger RNAs that serve as precision sensors for their corresponding targets. Allosteric rearrangement of mRNA structure is mediated by ligand binding, and this results in modulation of gene expression. This family includes riboswitches that sense lysine in a number of genes involved in lysine metabolism, including lysC. The record is from RNAcentral.